RNAcentral lists this ribosomal RNA (1453 nucleotides) under uncultured Porphyromonadaceae bacterium. Its description in RNAcentral is "bacterial SSU rRNA". It matches the Rfam family "Bacterial small subunit ribosomal RNA". The record is from RNAcentral. Lineage: Bacteria; Pseudomonadati; Bacteroidota; Bacteroidia; Bacteroidales; Porphyromonadaceae.
GAUGAACGCUAGCGACAGGCCUAACACAUGCAAGUCGAGGGGCAGCAUUUAAUAAGCUUGCUUAUUAAGAUGGCGACCGGCGCACGGGUGAGUAACACGUAUGUAAUCUGCCUGUAACAGGGGAAUAACCCGGAGAAAUUCGGACUAAUACCCCAUAAUAUCAAAAUGUUGCAUGAAAUUUUGAUUAAAGGAUUUCCGGUUACAGAUGAGCAUGCGUAUCAUUAGCUAGUUGGUAGAGUAACGGCCUACCAAGGCAACGAUGAUUAGGGGUUCUGAGAGGAAGAUCCCCCACACUGGUACUGAGACACGGACCAGACUCCUACGGGAGGCAGCAGUGAGGAAUAUUGGUCAAUGGACGGAAGUCUGAACCAGCCAAGUCGCGUGAAGGAAGACGGCCCUUAGGGUUGUAAACUUCUUUUAUUUGAGAGUAAAAGAUCUUACGUGUAGGAUUUUGCAAGUAUCAAAAGAAUAAGCAUCGGCUAAUUCCGUGCCAGCAGCCGCGGUAAUACGGAAGAUGCGAGCGUUAUCCGAAUUUAUUGGGUUUAAAGGGUGCGUAGGCGGGUCGGACAGUCAGUGGUGAAAUCUUGCGGCUCAACCGUAAAACUGCCAUUGAAACUAUCGACCUUGAGUGUAAAUGAGGUAUGCGGAAUGCGUGGUGUAGCGGUGAAAUGCAUAGAUAUCACGCAGAACUCCGAUUGCGAAGGCAGCAUACUGGGAUACAACUGACGCUGAAGCACGAAAGCGUGGGUAUCGAACAGGAUUAGAUACCCUGGUAGUCCACGCAGUAAACGAUGAAUACUAACUGUUUGCGAUACACAGUAAGCGGUACAGCGAAAGCGUUAAGUAUUCCACCUGGGGAGUACGCCGGCAACGGUGGAACUCGAAGGAAUUGACGGGGGCCCGCACAAGCGGAGGAACAUGUGGUUUAAUUCGAUGAUACGCGAGGAACCUUACCCGGGCUCAAACGUUGGGGGAAUAAUUUGGAAACAGAUUAGCUAGCAAUAGCCGCCAACGAGGUGCUGCAUGGUUGUCGUCAGCUCGUGCCGUGAGGUGUCGGCUUAAGUGCCAUAACGAGCGCAACCCUUAUCAAUAGUUACUAACAGGUCAAGCUGAGGACUCAAUUGAGACUGCCGGCGCAAGCCGUGAGGAAGGUGGGGAUGACGUCAAAUCAGCACGGCCCUUACGUCCGGGGCGACACACGUGUUACAAUGGUAUGAACAAAGGGAAGCCACGUAGCAAUACGGCGCCGAUCCCCAAAUCAUAUCUCAGUUCGGAUCGGAGUCUGCAACUCGACUCCGUGAAGCUGGAUUCGCUAGUAAUCGCGCAUCAGCCAUGGCGCGGUGAAUACGUUCCCGGGCCUUGUACACACCGCCCGUCAAGCCAUGGGAGCCGGGAGUACCUGAAGCAUGCAACCGCAAGGAGCGUUCUAAGGUAAUACUGGUGACUGGGGCUA